Molecule: ribosomal RNA, 473 nt
Filed under: uncultured bacterium
Lineage: Bacteria
Description: bacterial SSU rRNA
Rfam family: Bacterial small subunit ribosomal RNA
Source: RNAcentral
GAUGAACGCUAGCGAUAGGCCUAACACAUGCAAGUCGAGGGGCAUCACAUGAAGUAGCAAUACGGAUGGUGGCGACCGGCGCACGGGUGAGUAACACGUAUGCAACCUGCCUGUAAGCGGGGGAUAACCCGUUGAAAGACGGACUAAUACCGCAUAAUACUGGAGAUCUGCAUGGAUAUUCAGUUAAACAUUUAUGGCUUACAGAUGGGCAUGCGCAUGAUUAGAUAGUUGGAGAGGUAACGGCUCCCCAAGUCAACGAUCAUUAGGGGUUCUGAGAGGAAGGUCCCCCACACUGGUACUGAGACACGGACCAGACUCCUACGGGAGGCAGCAGUGAGGAAUAUUGGUCAAUGGGCGAGAGCCUGAACCAGCCAAGUCGCGUGCAGGAAGAAUGUCCUAUGGAUUGUAAACUGCUUUUGCAGGGGAAUAAAGUGAGCCACGUGUGGUUUUUUGUAUGUACUCUGCGAAUAAGG